RNAcentral lists this long non-coding RNA (2946 nucleotides) under Gallus gallus (chicken). Its description in RNAcentral is "lncRNA (ENSGALG00010004748.1)". The record is from RNAcentral. Lineage: Eukaryota; Metazoa; Chordata; Aves; Galliformes; Phasianidae.
CCUGUUGCAAUAUAAGCUGUGAAUAAGUAGCUGCCACCUGGGCAUUCCCAAGGAAAAUACGUCCAUGGUCAUCUGAAAGGCCAUGAGGAUAAUCCUAGUGAGAAUAAAUGAAAGAGAACUUUGUUUUUUGCAUUUGGUUGUAUGUUGCAGACAUUCAGAAGAGGACUUAUCGUGGCAAAAGAAAACAUUCUGUCCUUGAGGGGAUCUCAGAAUAGCACAACGUGUUCAAUAAGGCUUUGAAAGAAAACAAAGAGCUGAAGGCCAGAGCUGACUCCUUCAGACAAGAGUAUAAAAUGCAGGACUCAAAGUACUUAAAAUACUUCAGUGACAAGCAACAAAGAAAUGCCUGUUACUAUAAUUGCCUGCAUUAAGUAAAGAGCCAGAAAAUCUUGAGAACUUUUAAAAAAGUAGAUAUUUGAUGUGUAGGGAGUGUAAGAACAAAAUUCUCUCGGGCCAUGGCCGGAGCCCUGAAUCAGCAGAACUCUUUUCCUUGAAGAAAGUGAAAACCAGAGGAGGAUACACCCCAGUCCAAGAGGAACUAGACACAGACCACCAGCAAUACAGACCAACCACCAGCAAUACAGACCAUUCGUUAUAUCUUUUUUUCUUUUUUUUUUUUUUUUUUUCAGUAGCUAUUAAUUUGGGAUGCAUUUCAACUAGUGGCCUCGACUGGAAAAGUACCAGAUCCCAUGCUGUGUAUCUCGAGGGUACCCAGUCUCAUUAAUAAGCACCUUCAUUCCAGAGUAUUGUCUGUUUAUUUUGGAAGGUUUUCCUCCCCUCCCUGAAAAAACAGAGAUGAAUUGGGAUAAAUACAGGCAGGAAAUGGUCUCCCUAGCAACACUAAGAAUACAUAAGAACAACCUCAUCAUUCACUUUUCUUCCUUAGAUACACUUUUAAAAGAAGUUUGAGCUACCCUAAAAGACAUCUCCUGUUCGCAGUACAACACCCAAGUCAACAGAAUUAAUCAGCCCUGAUUUCACUUUCAGUGAGAAGGGAACUAAGUCCCUUUAAAAAAACCAGGGACAUAAGGUCUUAGAUUCCAGGGAAAGAAAGCUGAGUCAAAAGAGGAGUUCAUUCAGAUUCAACACUGCUCAAAAGAAAGCAGCUUUAUAUAACAUUCAGCUUUGCUGAAAUGUAACUUACAUUAACAAACUUCCAGCAUGCCCUGUUCAGAGAGCCUUAGGUUUUGAUAAAGUCUGGGUUCAGCUGUCUACGGGCAAAAUCUAAUCUAGUUGUGUAACAAUGCCAGAAAGGAAAUCAGAAAACUUGUUUCUGAGAGUUUAUUGGGGGAGACAUCAAAGCGUGGUGCUGCAUAAUUCCUACUCCCGUCACGUUGCACUAACACAGCCCCCUCACUCCUGAUCCACUUGCUGUGCCUGCCAGCUUCUGAAUGCACUAUGAGGUGCAUGAGAGGCAUUUCAGCAGCUGAGAAGGCUGAGAGGGCUUUUCACCUGGAACAGUGUGUCCAGCCUAAGAGCUGCAUGGGAGAAACCCCUCGCUGCAGUUUGAGAGCAUGCCCUGGCUCUACCAUAUUCAAGGAGGAGCAUUAAAAAUGCAUUGUCAGCCCUAGAAGGAAACCUUAUCAUUGCUGUGCAGCCCGGACACCAUGCGUUACCAAUAGGGCAUAUAGGAGGUGCUUCUAUCGCCAUGGGGUUGUGUUGUACUUGUGGUGCUUGGGAAGGGUGUAUUUGGUGCCUUCGGUGUUGUGUGGCUGGUGUUAGAAGCAGAAAACUCAAGCACAACUGGAUAAAGAAUAGUUCUAAGAAGGGCAGGGGAUCAUUCUGAAGAUUUCACAGGAAAACAAGAAUUAGAAUCAAAAUAAAGAAAACUGAGAGGAAAGAUAACAAAAAAAAAAAAAAGAAAGUGAACACUGCAACCCUCCCAAAGCCAGAACAGCUUUCUAUCCAUGCAUGAGCAUCCCGGCUGGAGCGCAACCAAGCUGCUUCCAUCAGACCUGCACACCUCCCAGGUGUGUCUGCUGGAGCUUAUACCUAUGCAUAACUUGAACACUUUAUUCUAAAAGGAAAAGCAAUAAAAAUCAAAGCAGGCUUGUAUACAAGUUAAAUCUUCUGUUAAGGAGCGGUAAUGUUAUUUGUUUUCAAUCAAAUGAGGGCAAUAAAAGCCAAGAUGUGUAAUGAAACCCCACCUGGUGUGUAUCGGCCUUGACACAGCCUUUUUAUUCAACAUAGCCUUUGCUUAAUGGAAAUCCCUGGCAAAGAGCCAGAGCCAGGGCUGUAAUGUUUGUAAAUAGCUGUUGCUUUCAGCCUGACUUUCCCCAGAGAAAACCAUGCAGGAAUAAAAAAAGUGAAGAUUCGGUAACAGCGUAAUUGCGUCACAUAACGGCCACCCCCGGGAAGCCAUCUGAAGUUUUAAUGCUCUAAAAUGAAUGCUGAAUUCACUCGUUUUCUCUAACAAAGGUGGCUGUUGCGGUGGCUGCACACACACCAGAGGGCUGCUGAAGGAAAGCGGAACAAAUGCCAUUUGCAAUUCAAGUGCCUUUAGACCCCAGAUGCUGCUGCCUCACAACCACUCUUCUGCAACCUUGAUGAAGGAUGGUAAUUAUCCCUCCAGUACUGGUGACCAGCACAGGCCCGGCCCUAAUCUCUUGCUGAUGUGGGCGACAGACCUGCUCAAGGACACAGAGGCACAGGUUGGUGCCAGGCCAUUGAAAUGACACCGAGUCAGGCUGGAUUUGACUCAUACUCCUGGUCCUGCAUGCUAGAAUAAAUAUCUGCAGCUCUGGCAUGACAGAGAUGGGGCUUCAGAACCUUCCCAUCUUGUACUGGGGCUUGCUCAAUAUUGGGAUCCCCUCUUGGCAGCCAGGAGAACCCCAGAGCCACCUCAAGCUUUCCGAUCCACUUCUUUUAACCUGGCACUCGACUAUAAACAGCUGCCGGUGGCACACAUGGUAUAUUAAGCUUCUGGAGAAAUGAACUAGUUUUCAU